UUAGAACCUGCUGGCUUCACUUCCUGGAGGCUUUUUGUUGUGUCUUGAAACUAGGAUCUUUGCGGGUCAUCCCUGCUUUGAUCAAAAUCAACCAUUCCUUUCCAAAAUUCAGAAGCUUCCACAACAAGUUGAUACAUUUUAUCAUUUCCCAUGUCUGAAUUACUUCCUGUUAAGAACAUGAACUGGAUUAAUAGAAAUUUCUCAGAAAAAAAUAUUCAAACACCAAGGAUCUCACUUUGUGCUGUGAAAUGCAAGAUGAGCAAUCUGAUCUGGACAUACCAGCCUUCAGUCAGGCAACAGGUGAAUAUGCAGGUAGAAUUAUAAUGUGUAAAGCCGGGUGCAGUGGCUCACGUCUAUAAUCUGAGCACUUUGGGAGACUAA
This 381-nucleotide long non-coding RNA is filed under the name Homo sapiens (human). Its description in RNAcentral is "HSALNT0372473". The record is from RNAcentral. Lineage: Eukaryota; Metazoa; Chordata; Mammalia; Primates; Hominidae.